This 460-nucleotide ribosomal RNA is filed under the name uncultured bacterium. Its description in RNAcentral is "partial 16S ribosomal RNA". It matches the Rfam family "Bacterial small subunit ribosomal RNA", at positions 338 to 795 of the family's 1533-position model. The record is from RNAcentral.
CCUACGGGAGGCAGCAGUGAGGAAUAUUGGUCAAUGGACGCAAGUCUGAACCAGCCAUGCCGCGUGCAGGAAGACGGCUCUAUGAGUUGUAAACUGCUUUUGUACGAGGGUAAACGCAGAUACGCGUAUCUGUCUGAAAGUAUCGUACGAAUAAGGAUCGGCUAACUACGUGCCAGCAGCCGCGGUAAUACGGAGGAUUCAAGCGUUAUCCGGAUUUAUUGGGUUUAAAGGGUGCGUAGGCGGUCGGAUAAGUUAGAGGUGAAAUCCCGAGGCUCAACUUCGGAAUUGCCUCUGAUACUGUUCGGCGAGAGAGUAGUUGCGGUAGGCGGAAUGUAUGGUGUAGCGGUGAAAUGCUUAGAGAUCAGACAGAACACCGAUUGCGAAGGCAGCUUACCAAGCUACUUCUGACGUUGAGGCACGAAAGCGUGGGGAGCAAACAGGAUUAGAUACCCUUGUAGUC